AUACGGAGGGGGCUAGCGUUGUUCGGAAUUACUGGGCGUAAAGCGCUUGUAGGUGGUGUGGCAAGUUAGAGGUGAAAGGCCUGGGCUCAACCUGGGAACUGCCUUUAAUACUGUCACGCUAGAGUUCGGGAGAGGGUAGCGGAACUCCAAGUGUAGAGGUGAAAUUCGUAGAUAUUUGGAAGAACACCGGUGGCGAAGGCGGCUACCUGGACCGACACUGUCACUGAGAUGCGAAAGCGUGGGGAGCGAACAGGAUUAGAUACCCCGGUAGUCC
Molecule: ribosomal RNA, 274 nt
Filed under: uncultured bacterium
Lineage: Bacteria
Description: partial 16S ribosomal RNA
Rfam family: Bacterial small subunit ribosomal RNA
Source: RNAcentral